UUUAUACGUUACGUAUAUAUUUAUAAAUUUUUAGCAGUAUUGACAGUGAAUUUUGAAACACAGCCAAAAUUUACCUAGUGACAGUGAUUAUCGUGUGAGCACUCACUUGUUCGAUGUUUUCUAAACGUAUAUUACGUGACUGUGAUAUUCAACUUUUUUCGUCCUUCCCGCCUUGGCUUCGCUAUCUCCGAAGGCUGUGCAUACAUACUCGAAGAGUAUCUGUUAUGUAUACAGUGGAAGCAGAGGAAUAAACAGACUUUACAUAACAUUAAACAUCUAACACAUCAUUGUGUUCGGGAAAGUCGACAUUUCACAUUGGCACUCAAUAUUGAAGAUAAGGUGCCUCUAAAAUAGGAGGAUAUUGUCAAACAACUAAAGAAGCAGAAAAACAUAUUCAAGGAUGGUUGAGAAGAGCUGCUGAAAGAGGAAAACUGAGACAAUAAAUUUAAAAUACAUCUUAUAUUCUGUAUUUGCAAAGGAUGAUGAGACAAGAGAUGAUAAUGAUGAUGAUACGAAAUCUCGUCGGAUAGUAACAUCCAGAUCACCAUACAGCACUACCACAAUACAAAGUGCCUAAGCAAUAUGCAGCUGUUGUAAUAGGAAGAGGUGGUUCAGUGAUCAAAAACAUACAAGAUAAAAGUGGCACACAUAUUAAUAUGAGUAAAGAUGAUAUAGAAUCUCCGUAUCGUCUCUGUGUUAUACAAGGAAAAGAAAUGGAAGACAUUCGUUUAGCAGAGUCAAUGAUCAAAAAUAUAAAGGAAAUCAGCCUAUCAUUGAGA
This is a non-coding RNA of Nylanderia fulva, 779 nucleotides long. Lineage: Eukaryota; Metazoa; Arthropoda; Insecta; Hymenoptera; Formicidae. The record is from RefSeq and is a predicted model, not a curated record.